GUGAGUAAUAUAUCGGAACGUACCCUAGAGUGGGGGAUAACGUAGCGAAAGUUACGCUAAUACCGCAUACGAUCUAAGGAUGAAAGUGGGGGAUCGCAAGACCUCAUGCUCGUGGAGCGGCCGAUAUCUGAUUAGCUAGUUGGUAGGGUAAAAGCCUACCAAGGCAUCGAUCAGUAGCUGGUCUGAGAGGACGACCAGCCACACUGGAACUGAGACACGGUCCAGACUCCUACGGGAGGCAGCAGUGGGGAAUUUUGGACAAUGGGCGAAAGCCUGAUCCAGCAAUGCCGCGUGAGUGAAGAAGGCCUUCGGGUUGUAAAGCUCUUUUGUCAGGGAAGAAACGGUGAGAGCUAAUAUCUUUUGCUAAUGACGGUACCUGAAGAAUAAGCACCGGCUAACUACGUGCCAGCAGCCGCGGUAAUACGUAGGGUGCAAGCGUUAAUCGGAAYUACUGGGCGUAAAGCGUGCGCAGGCGGUUUUGUAAGUCUGAUGUGAAAUCCCCGGGCUCAACCUGGGAAUUGCAUUGGAGACUGCAAGGCUAGAAUCUGGCAGANGGGGGGUAGAAUUCCACGUGUAGCAGUGAAAUGCGUAGAUAUGUGGAGGAACACCGAUGGCGAAGGCAGCCCCCUGGGUCAAGAUUGACGCUCAUGCACGAAAGCGUGGGGAGCAAACAGGAUUAGAUACCCUGGUAGUCCACGCCCUAAACGAUGUCUACUAGUUGUCGGGUCUUAAUUGACUUGGUAACGCAGCUAACGCGUGAAGUAGACCGCCUGGGGAGUACGGUCGCAAGAUUAAAACUCAAAGGAAUUGACGGGGACCCGCACAAGCGGUGGAUGAUGUGGAUUAAUUCGAUGCAACGCGAAAAACCUUACCUACCCUUGACAUGGCUGGAAUCCUUGAGAGAUCAGGGAGUGCUCGAAAGAGAACCAGUACACAGGUGCUGCAUGGCUGUCGUCAGCUCGUGUCGUGAGAUGUUGGGUUAAGUCCCGCAACGAGCGCAACCCUUGUCAUUAGUUGCUACGAAAGGGCACUCUAAUGAGACUGCCGGUGACAAACCGGAGGAAGGUGGGGAUGACGUCAAGUCCUCAUGGCCCUUAUGGGUAGGGCUUCACACGUCAUACAAUGGUACAUACAGAGCGCCGCCAACCCGCGAGGGGGAGCUAAUCGCAGAAAGUGUAUCGUAGUCCGGAUUGUAGUCUGCAACUCGACUGCAUG
This 1215-nucleotide ribosomal RNA is filed under the name Janthinobacterium lividum. RNAcentral's name for it is "bacterial SSU rRNA". It matches the Rfam family "Bacterial small subunit ribosomal RNA", at positions 106 to 1322 of the family's 1533-position model. The record is from RNAcentral. Lineage: Bacteria; Pseudomonadati; Pseudomonadota; Betaproteobacteria; Burkholderiales; Oxalobacteraceae.